Molecule: ribosomal RNA, 349 nt
Filed under: uncultured bacterium
Lineage: Bacteria
Description: partial 16S ribosomal RNA
Rfam family: Bacterial small subunit ribosomal RNA
Source: RNAcentral
CCUACGGGAGGCAGCAGUGGGGAAUAUUGCACAAUGGGGGAAACCCUGAUGCAGCGACGCCGCGUGAGUGAAGAAGUAUUUCGGUAGGUAAAGCUCUAUCAGCAGGGAAGAAAAUGACGGUACCUGAGUAAGAAGCCCCGGCUAACUACGUGCCAGCAGCCGCGGUAAGACGUAGGGGGCAAGCGUUCUCCGGAUUUACUGGGUGUAAAGGGAGCGUAGACGGCAGCGCAAGUCUGAAGGGAAAUGCCUGGGCUUAACCCCGGAACUGCUUUGGAAACUGUGCAGCUAGAGUGCAGGAGAGGUCAGUUGCAUUCCUAGUGUAGCGGUGAACUGCGUAGAUAUUAGGCGG